This 496-nucleotide ribosomal RNA is filed under the name uncultured bacterium. RNAcentral's name for it is "partial 16S ribosomal RNA". It matches the Rfam family "Bacterial small subunit ribosomal RNA", at positions 28 to 507 of the family's 1533-position model. The record is from RNAcentral.
GAUGAACGCUGGCGGCGUGCCUAAUACAUGCAAGUCGAGCGAACAGACGAGGAGCUUGCUCCUCUGACGUUAGCGGCGGACGGGUGAGUAACACGUGGAUAACCUACCUAUAAGACUGGGAUAACUUCGGGAAACCGGAGCUAAUACCGGAUAAUAUAUUGAACCGCAUGGUUCAAUAGUGAAAGACGGUUUUGCUGUCACUUAUAGAUGGAUCCGCGCCGCAUUAGCUAGUUGGUAAGGUAACGGCUUACCAAGGCGACGAUGCGUAGCCGACCUGAGAGGGGGAUCGGCCACACUGGAACUGAGACACGGUCCAGACUCCUACGGGAGGCAGCAGUAGGGAAUCUUCCGCAUGGGCGAAAGCCUGACGGAGCAACGCCGCGUGAGUGAUGAAGGUCUUCGGAUCGUAAAACUCUGUUAUUAGGGAAGAACAAAUGUGUAAGUAACUAUGCACGUCUUGACGGUACCUAAUCAGAAAGCCACGGCUAACUACGUG